CCUCAUGGCCGUUUAUGGCCCAGGGCUACACACCGUGCUACAAUGGGCGGUACAAAGAGAAGCAACCUCGCGAGGGUGAGCAAAUCUCAAAAAGCCGUUCUCAGUUCGGAUUGAAGUCUGCAACUCGACUUCAUGAAGUCGGAAUCGCUAGUAAUCGCGGAUCAGCAUGCCGCGGUGAAUACGUUCCCGGGCCUU
This 195-nucleotide ribosomal RNA is filed under the name uncultured Syntrophaceae bacterium. RNAcentral's name for it is "partial 16S ribosomal RNA". It matches the Rfam family "Bacterial small subunit ribosomal RNA", at positions 1191 to 1382 of the family's 1533-position model. The record is from RNAcentral. Lineage: Bacteria; Pseudomonadati; Thermodesulfobacteriota; Syntrophia; Syntrophales; Syntrophaceae.